AGUGAACGCUGGCGGUAGGCCUAACACAUGCAAGUCGAACGGCAGCACAGAGGAGCUUGCUCCUUGGGUGGCGAGUGGCGGACGGGUGAGGAAUACAUCGGAAUCUACUCUGUCGUGAGGGAUAACGUAGGGAAACUUACGCUAAUACCGCAUACGACCUACGGGUGAAAGCAGGGGACCUUCGGGCCUUGCGCGAUUGACUGAGCCGAUGUCGGAUUAGCUAGUUGGCGGGGUAAAGGCACACCAAGGCAACGAUCCGUAGCUGGUCUGAGAGGAUGAUCAGCCACACUGGAACUGAGACACGGUCCAGACUCCUACGGGAGGCAGCAGUGGUGAAUAUUGGACAAUGGGCGCAAGCCUGAUCCAGCCAUACCGCGUGGGUGAAGAAGGCCUUCGGGUUGUAAAGCCCUUUUGUUGGGAAAGAAAUCCAGCUGGCUAAUACCCGGUUGGGAUGACGGUACCCAAAGAAUAAGCACCGGCUAACUUCGUGCCAGCAGCCGCCGUAA
RNAcentral lists this ribosomal RNA (506 nucleotides) under uncultured bacterium. Its description in RNAcentral is "partial 16S ribosomal RNA". It matches the Rfam family "Bacterial small subunit ribosomal RNA", at positions 29 to 523 of the family's 1533-position model. The record is from RNAcentral.